GUGAGGAAUAUUGCGCAAUGGAGGCAACUCUGAUGCAGCCAUGCCGCGUGCAGGAAGAAGGCGCUACGCGUUGUAAACUGCUUUUAACCGGGAAGAAACCCCAGGACGUGUCCUGGGUUGACGGUACCGGAGGAAUAAGCACCGGCUAACUUCGUGCCAGCAGCCGCGGUAAUACGAAGGGUGCAAGCGUUAUCCGGAUUCAUUGGGUUUAAAGGGUGCGUAGGCGGAGCGUUAAGUCAGUGGUGAAAUCCUGCAGCUUAACUGUAGACUUGCCAUUGAUACUGGCGCUCUUGAGUGCGCUUGAAGUGGGCGGAAUGUGCCGUGUAGCGGUGAAAUGCUUAGAUAUGGCACAGAACACCAAUUGCGAAGGCAGCUCACUAAGGCGAUACUGACGCUGAGGCACGAAAGCGUGGGGAUCGAACAGGAUUAGAAACCCCAGUAGUCC
This 445-nucleotide ribosomal RNA is filed under the name uncultured bacterium. RNAcentral describes it as "partial 16S ribosomal RNA". It matches the Rfam family "Bacterial small subunit ribosomal RNA", at positions 354 to 796 of the family's 1533-position model. The record is from RNAcentral.